GACGAACGCUGGCGGCGUGCUUAACACAUGCAAGUCGAACGGUAACAGGCCCUUCGGGUGCUGACGAGUGGCGGACGGGUGAGUAAUGCUUAGGAAUCUGCCUAGUAGUGGGGGAUAACCCGGGGAAACGUCGGGCUAAUACCGUAUACGUCCGUAAGGAGAAAGAUUCAUCGCCCCUACGACGGGCCCGCCGUCGGAUUAGCUAGUUGGUAAGGUAAUGGCUUACCAAGGCUACGAUCCGUAACCGGCCUGAGAGGGCGGCGGUCACACUGACACUGACAUACGGGU
This 288-nucleotide ribosomal RNA is filed under the name uncultured bacterium. Its description in RNAcentral is "partial 16S ribosomal RNA". It matches the Rfam family "Bacterial small subunit ribosomal RNA", at positions 28 to 331 of the family's 1533-position model. The record is from RNAcentral.